RNAcentral lists this ribosomal RNA (600 nucleotides) under Burkholderia sp. KS2P1. RNAcentral's name for it is "bacterial SSU rRNA". It matches the Rfam family "Bacterial small subunit ribosomal RNA", at positions 100 to 697 of the family's 1533-position model. Lineage: Bacteria; Pseudomonadati; Pseudomonadota; Betaproteobacteria; Burkholderiales; Burkholderiaceae. The record is from RNAcentral.
ACGGGGUGAGUAAUACAUCGGAACAUGUCCUGUAGUGGGGGAUAGCCCGGCGAAAGCCGGAUUAAUACCGCAUACGAUCUACGGAUGAAAGCGGGGGAUCGCAAGACCUCGCGCUAUAGGGUUGGCCGAUGGCUGAUUAGCUAGUUGGUGGGGUAAAGGCCUACCAAGGCGACGAUCAGUAGCUGGUCUGAGAGGACGACCAGCCACACUGGGACUGAGACACGGCCCAGACUCCUACGGGAGGCAGCAGUGGGGAAUUUUGGACAAUGGGCGAAAGCCUGAUCCAGCAAUGCCGCGUGUGUGAAGAAGGCCUUCGGGUUGUAAAGCACUUUUGUCCGGAAAGAAAUCCUUGGUCCUAAUAUGGCCGGGGGAUGACGGUACCGGAAGAAUAAGCACCGGCUAACUACGUGCCAGCAGCCGCGGUAAUACGUAGGGUGCGAGCGUUAAUCGGAAUUACUGGGCGUAAAGCGUGCGCAGGCGGUUUGCUAAGACCGAUGUGAAAUCCCCGGGCUCAACCUGGGAACUGCAUUGGUGACUGGCAGGCUAGAGUAUGGCAGAGGGGGGUAGAAUUCCACGUGUAGCAGUGAAAUGCGUAUAGAU